CCAAACUUGGUCAUUUAGAGGAAGUAAAAGUCGUAACAAGGUCUCCGUUGGUGAACCAGCGGAGGGAUCAUUAUCGAGUUUUCCAACUCCAAACCUUUGUGAACAUACCAUUGUUGCUUCGGCGGGAUCGUCCCCGGGAACCGCUGUGCACGGCGUGACCCGGGUGCCCCCGCCGAGGGACCCAAACUCUUGUUUUUCCAGUAGGAUCUUCUGAGUAUCUUGAUAAAUAAAUCAAAACUUUCAGCAACGGAUCUCUUGGUUCUGGCAUCGAUGAAGAACGCAGC
Molecule: unclassified non-coding RNA, 284 nt
Filed under: uncultured fungus
Lineage: Eukaryota; Fungi
Description: partial contains small subunit ribosomal RNA, internal transcribed spacer 1, and 5.8S ribosomal RNA
Rfam family: Eukaryotic small subunit ribosomal RNA (bases 1-73)
Source: RNAcentral